This 64-nucleotide transfer RNA is filed under the name Phryganogryllacris superangulata. RNAcentral's name for it is "tRNA-Ile". Lineage: Eukaryota; Metazoa; Arthropoda; Insecta; Orthoptera; Gryllacrididae. The record is from RNAcentral.
AAUAGUGUGCCUGACUAAAGGGUUAUCGUGAUAGGAUAAAUAAAGUAAAUGUUUACCAUUAUUA